UUAUAACAGUAAUAGUUUCUUUGGUUAGUAAAAUACAAGGAUAGCUUUGUGAAUGAUAAAGAUAAUACUUGAGACGAUCCAGUUUGUAUUAGUACAAAAUGGCCAAUUUAUUUAAAUGAAUUGAGAAAUGACAUUCUAAGUGAGUUAGGAUGCCACGACAAUUGUAGAACACACAGUGUUUAACAAGUAACCAAUGAGAAUUUCUGAUCUAUCAAUCAGUUGGUAGUAUCGAGGACUACCAAGAUUAUAACGGAUAACGAGGAAUUGGGGUUCGACAUCGGAGAGGGAGCUUUACAGAUGGCUACCACUUCUAAG
RNAcentral lists this ribosomal RNA (315 nucleotides) under Entamoeba nuttalli. RNAcentral's name for it is "SSU rRNA". It matches the Rfam family "Eukaryotic small subunit ribosomal RNA", at positions 101 to 420 of the family's 1831-position model. The record is from RNAcentral. Lineage: Eukaryota; Evosea; Mastigamoebida; Endamoebidae.